This 443-nucleotide ribosomal RNA is filed under the name uncultured bacterium. Its description in RNAcentral is "partial 16S ribosomal RNA". It matches the Rfam family "Bacterial small subunit ribosomal RNA", at positions 338 to 795 of the family's 1533-position model. The record is from RNAcentral.
CCUACGGGAGGCAGCAGUGGGGAAUAUUGGGCAAUGGGCGCAAGCCUGACCCAGCAACGCCGCGUGAAGGAAGAAGGCUCUCGGGUUGUAAACUUCUUUUCUCAGGGACGAAGAAAGUGACGGUACCUGAGGAAUAAGCUACGCCUAACUACGGGCUAGCAGCCCGGGGAAAACGUAGGUGGCAAGCGUUAUCCGGAUUUAUUGGGGGUAAAGGGCGUGUAGGUGGGAGCGCAAGCCAGAUGGGAAAACUCAGGGCUCAACCCUUAGCCUGCAUUUGAAACUGUGUUUCUUGAGUGCUGGAGAGGCAAUCGGAAUUCCGGGUGUAGCGGUGAAAUGCGUAGAUAUACGGAAGAACACCAGUGGCGAAGGCAGAUUGCUGGACAGUAACUGACGCUGAGGCGCGAAAGCGUGGGGAGCAAACAGGAUUAGAUACCCGAGUAGUC